GAUGAACGCUAGCUACAGGCUUGACACAUGCAAGUCGCGGGGCAGCAUGGGGGUUGCUUGCAAUCCCCGAUGGCGACCGGCGCACGGGUGAGUAACGCGUAUCCAACCUGCCCUUCACCACGGGAUAACCCGGCGAAAGUCGGACUAAUACCGUAUGUUGUCCAUUGACGGCAUCCGAUUUGGACGAAAGGUUUGGCGGUGAAGGCUGGGGAGGCGUCCGAUUAGCUGGACGGCGGGGUGACGGCCCACCGUGGCGACGAUCGGUAGGGGUUCUGAGAGGAAGGUCCCCGAGACUGGAACUGAGACACGGUCCAGACUGCUACGGGAGGCAGCAGUGAGGAAUAUUGGUCAAUGGGCGUAAGCCUGAACCAGCCAAGUAGCGUGCAGGAUGACGGCCCUAUGGGUUGUAAACUGCUUUUAUGCGGGGAUAAAGUGGCCCACGUGUGGGUUUUUGCAGGUACCGCAUGAAUAAGGACCGGCUAAUUCCGUG
This 490-nucleotide ribosomal RNA is filed under the name uncultured bacterium. RNAcentral's name for it is "partial 16S ribosomal RNA". It matches the Rfam family "Bacterial small subunit ribosomal RNA", at positions 28 to 507 of the family's 1533-position model. The record is from RNAcentral.